UACGUAGGGGGCAAGCGUUGUCCGGAUUUAUUGGGCGUAAAGAGCGUGUAGGCGGUUUUGUAAGUCGGGUGUGAAAUCCCCAAGCUUAACUUGGGAACUGCAUUCGAGACUGCAUAGCUAGAGUAUGGGAGAGGGAAGUGGAAUUUCAGGUGUAGCGGUGAAAUGCGUAGAUAUCUGAAGGAACAUCAGUGGCGAAAGCGACUUCCUGGACCAAUACUGACGCUCAUGUGCGAAAGCGUGGGGAGCAAACAGG
This 253-nucleotide ribosomal RNA is filed under the name uncultured bacterium. RNAcentral describes it as "partial 16S ribosomal RNA". It matches the Rfam family "Bacterial small subunit ribosomal RNA", at positions 524 to 776 of the family's 1533-position model. The record is from RNAcentral.